This 1162-nucleotide long non-coding RNA is filed under the name Chrysemys picta bellii (western painted turtle). RNAcentral's name for it is "lncRNA (ENSCPBG00000002624.1)". The record is from RNAcentral. Lineage: Eukaryota; Metazoa; Chordata; Testudines; Emydidae.
AUCACUAUGGUUAAGAAAGCCUAUCACCUUUAUUUUGGCUGCAAAAUUGGAGAUCAGGACAAGAGGUGGGCCCCACACAGAUGCUGCAACACUUGUGCAACAAAUCUUUGCCAGUGGCUGAACAGGAAAAGGAAAUCUAUGCCUUUUGCAGUGCCAAUGAUUUGGAGAGAGCCAAUAGAUCAUACCAGCAAUUGUUACUUCUGCAUGGUGCCUCCAGUUGGGAAAGGUGUGUCAAAGAAGAAAAAGUGGACUGUGCAUUAUCCAAACAUUCCAUCAGCUAUACGCCCAGUACCCCACAGAGAAGGACUGCCGAUUCCUGAUGCACCAGAAUCAUUCUCACUUGAGUCAGAUGACAAAGAGGAAGAGGAUGAAACUUCUGGUCCUGAACCAUCAAUGUCACAGGACCCACAUUUUCUCCCAUCCUCCUCCUCUGAACCACACCUCAUAACACAAGGUGAACUGAAUGACCUUGUCAGGGAUUUGGAACUACCCAAGAGUAAGGCAGAGCUGUUGGACUCCAGACUACAGCAGUGGAAUCUCCUGGCAGGUGAUGUUAGGGUUUCCAUGUUCCGUGACCAUCCAAAGGAUCUUGUCCCAUUCUUCUUCAUGGAAGGUGAUCUUGUAGCCUGCAACAACAUCGAUGGUGCGAUGGCAGCCCUCAACAUCGUUCACGAUCCAGAUGAGUGGAGACUGUUUAUUGAUUCAUCGAAGAUGAGUCUUAAAGCUGUUUUACUGCAUAAUGACAAUGUUUUGCCAUCAAUUCCAGUUGGUCAUGCAGUCCAUAUGAAGGAAACCUAUGACAACAUGAAACAACUUUUGAGGUGCAUAAACUAUGACCAACAUCAGUGGCAGCUUCGUGGCGAUUUGAAGGUUGUUGCUCUCUUGCUUGGUCUGCAGACUGGAUACACAAAGUACUGCUAUUUUCUCUGCGAAUGGGAUAGUCGUGCAAGAGAUUCCCACUACCUCAAGAAAGAUUGGCCACUCCGACAGUCAUUGGAGCCUGGGAGGAAAAGUGUUCAGCAUCCACCACUUGUUGAAUCAAGGAAGAUUUUGUUACCACCCUUACACAUCAAGGUGGGUCUGAUGAAGAACUUUAUCAAGGCCAUUGACAAAACACAAGCAGCUUUCAAGUACCCCUGUGGAAAAUUUCCAAGAUUAAGUG